This 377-nucleotide ribosomal RNA is filed under the name uncultured bacterium. RNAcentral's name for it is "bacterial SSU rRNA". It matches the Rfam family "Bacterial small subunit ribosomal RNA", at positions 521 to 896 of the family's 1533-position model. The record is from RNAcentral.
UAAUACGGAGGGUGCGAGCGUUGUCCGGAAUCACUGGGCGUAAAGGGCGCGUAGGCGGCCUGAUAAGUAGGGGGUGAAAUCCUGCGGCUUAACCGCAGGGCUGCCUUCUAAACUGUCAGGCUCGAGCACAGUAGAGGCAGGUGGAAUUCCCGGUGUAGCGGUGGAAUGCGUAGAGAUCGGGAAGAACAUCAGUGGCGAAGGCGGCCUGCUGGGCUGUUGCUGACGCUGAGGCGCGACAGCGUGGGGAGCAAACAGGAUUAGAUACCCUGGUAGUCCACGCCGUAAACGAUGGGCACUAGGCGUCGGGGGGAGCGACCCUCCCGGUGCCGUCGCUAACGCAGUAAGUGCCCCGCCUGGGGAGUACGGCCGCAAGGCUG